AGAGAGAGAGAGAGAGAGCAUGGCCCCUGCGCAAGGAUGACACGCACAAAUCGAGAAGUGUACCAAGUUUUC
RNAcentral lists this small nuclear RNA (72 nucleotides) under Symbiodinium microadriaticum. Lineage: Eukaryota; Dinophyceae; Suessiales; Symbiodiniaceae. The record is from RNAcentral.